CCCUUAGAUGUUCUGGGCCGCACGCACGCUACACUGAUGCAUUCAACGAGUCUAAAACCUGCUCUGAUAGGGGUGGGUAAUCUUUUGAAUGUGCAUCGUGAUUGGGAUAGAUGAUUGCAAUUUUUCAUCUUCAACGAGGAAUGCCUAGUAAACGCAAGCCAUCAGCUUGCAUUGAUUACGUCCCUGCCCUUUGUACACACCGCCCGUCGCUCCUACCGAUUGAAUGAUCCGAUGAAUAUCAUGGAUUGAGGAUGCAAGUAGGUUCGCCUAUCUUCAUCUUCGAGAAGUGAAGUAAAUCUUAUCAUUUAGAGGAAGGAGAAGUCGUAACA
Molecule: ribosomal RNA, 329 nt
Filed under: uncultured eukaryote
Lineage: Eukaryota
Description: partial 18S ribosomal RNA
Rfam family: Eukaryotic small subunit ribosomal RNA
Source: RNAcentral